Molecule: ribosomal RNA, 460 nt
Filed under: uncultured bacterium
Lineage: Bacteria
Description: partial 16S ribosomal RNA
Rfam family: Bacterial small subunit ribosomal RNA
Source: RNAcentral
CCUACGGGUGGCAGCAGUGAGGAAUAUUGGUCAAUGGGCGAGAGCCUGAACCAGCCAAGUAGCGUGAAGGAUGAAGGAUCUAUGGGUUGUAAACUUCUUUUAUAUGGGAAUAAAGUGAGGAACGUGUUCCUUUUUGUAUGUACCAUAUGAAUAAGCAUCGGCUAACUCCGUGCCAGCAGCCGCGGUAAUACGGAGGAUGCGAGCGUUAUCCGGAUUUAUUGGGUUUAAAGGGUGCGUAGGUGGUUUAUUAAGUCAGCGGUGAAAGUUUGUGGCUCAACCAUAAAAUUGCCGUUGAAACUGGUUGUCUUGAGUAUAGUUGAGGUAGGCGGAAUGCGUGGUGUAGCGGUGAAAUGCUUAGAUAUCACGAAGAACUCCGAUUGCGAAGGCAGCUUACUAGACUAUAACUGACACUGAGGCACGAAAGCGUGGGGAUCAAACAGGAUUAGAUACCCCAGUAGUC